Molecule: ribosomal RNA, 464 nt
Filed under: uncultured bacterium
Lineage: Bacteria
Description: partial 16S ribosomal RNA
Rfam family: Bacterial small subunit ribosomal RNA
Source: RNAcentral
ACGAACGCUGGCGGCGUGCUUAACACAUGCAAGUCGCACGGAAAGGCCCUGCUUGCAGGGUACUCGAGUGGCGAACGGGUGAGUAACACGUGGGUGAUCUGCCCUGCACUUCGGGAUAAGCCUGGGAAACUGGGUCUAAUACCGGAUAGGAGCCAUUUUUAGUGUGAUGGUUGGAAAGUUUUUUCGGUGUAGGAUGAGCUCGCGGCCUAUCAGCUUGUUGGUGGGGUAAUGGCCUACCAAGGCGGCGACGGGUAGCCGGCCUGAGAGGGUGGACGGCCACAUUGGGACUGAGAUACGGCCCAGACUCCUACGGGAGGCAGCAGUGGGGAAUAUUGCACAAUGGGCGCAAGCCUGAUGCAGCGACGCCGCGUGGGGGAGGACGGCCUUCGGGUUGUAAACUCCUUUCGCUAGGGACGAAGCUUUUUGUGACGGUACCUAGAUAAGAAGCACCGGCUAACUACGUG